This 1183-nucleotide ribosomal RNA is filed under the name Aquimarina sp. Its description in RNAcentral is "bacterial SSU rRNA". It matches the Rfam family "Bacterial small subunit ribosomal RNA", at positions 173 to 1342 of the family's 1533-position model. The record is from RNAcentral. Lineage: Bacteria; Pseudomonadati; Bacteroidota; Flavobacteriia; Flavobacteriales; Flavobacteriaceae.
UAGUAUCAUAGAUCAGCAUUGUUUUAUGAUUAAAGAUUUAUUGCUACAAGAUGGCUAUGCGUUCUAUUAGUUAGUUGGUGAGGUAACGGCUUACCAAGACAUCGAUAGAUAGGGGCCCUGAGAGGGGGAUCCCCCACACUGGUACUGAGACACGGACCAGACUCCUACGGGAGGCAGCAGUGAGGAAUAUUGGACAAUGGAGGCAACUCUGAUCCAGCCAUGCCGCGUGUAGGAAGACUGCCCUAUGGGUUGUAAACUACUUUUAUAGAGGAAGAAACCUAUCUACGUGUAGAUAGCUGACGGUACUCUACGAAUAAGGAUCGGCUAACUCCGUGCCAGCAGCCGCGGUAAUACGGAGGAUCCAAGCGUUAUCCGGAAUCAUUGGGUUUAAAGGGUCCGUAGGCGGGUUUGUAAGUCAGUGGUGAAAGUUUUCGGCUCAACCGGAAAAUUGCCAUUGAUACUGCAAGUCUUGAAUCAUUAUGAAGUGGUUAGAAUAAGUAGUGUAGCGGUGAAAUGCAUAGAUAUUACUUAGAAUACCGAUUGCGAAGGCAGAUCACUAAUAAUGUAUUGACGCUAAGGGACGAAAGCGUGGGUAGCGAACAGGAUUAGAUACCCUGGUAGUCCACGCCGUAAACGAUGGUUACUAGCUGUUCGGACUUCGGUCUGAGUGGCUAAGCGAAAGUGAUAAGUAACCCACCUGGGGAGUACGUUCGCAAGAAUGAAACUCAAAGGAAUUGACGGGGGCCCGCACAAGCGGUGGAGCAUGUGGUUUAAUUCGAUGAUACGCGAGGAACCUUACCAGGGCUUAAAUGUAGUCUGACAGCUUUAGAGAUAGAGUUUUCUUCGGACAGAUUACAAGGUGCUGCAUGGUUGUCGUCAGCUCGUGCCGUGAGGUGUCAGGUUAAGUCCUAUAACGAGCGCAACCCCUGUUGUUAGUUGCCAGCGAGUAAUGUCGGGAACUCUAGCAAGACUGCCGGUGCAAACCGCGAGGAAGGUGGGGAUGACGUCAAAUCAUCACGGGCCUUACGUCCUGGGCCACACACGUGCUACAACGGUAGGUACAUAGAGCAGCCACUGGGUGCCCAGGAUCGUAUCAAUGUAGCCGUAGACAGUGAUCAUGGCUCUGGACGUCGUGACAAGGUAGCCGUAGAGUUUGAUCCUGGCUCAGGAAGUCGUAACAAGG